AGUUUGAUCCUGGCUCAGAUUGAACGCUGGCGGGAUGCUUUACACAUGCAAGUCGAACGGCAGCACGGACUUCGGUCUGGUGGCGAGUGGCGAACAGGUGAGUAAUGUAUCGGAACGUGCCUAGUAGCGGGGAUAACUACGCGAAAGCGUAGCUAAUACCGCAUACGCCCUUCGGGGAAAGCGGGGGACCUUCGGGCCUCGCACUAUUAGAGCGGCCGAUAUCGGAUUAGCUAGUUGGUGGGGUAACGGCUCACCAAGGCGACGAUCCGUAGCUGGUUUGAGAGGACGACCAGCCACACUGGGACUGAGACACGGCCCAGACUCCUACGGGAGGCAGUGGGGAAUUUUGGACAGUGGGGGAAACCCUGAUCCAGCCAUCCCGCGUGUGCGAUGAAGGCCUUCGGGUUGUAAAGCACUUUUGGCAGGAAAGAAACGGCACGGGAUAAUACCCCGUGCAACUGACGGUACCUGCAGAAUAGCACCGGCUAACUACGUGCCAGCAGCCGCGGUAAUACGUAGGUGCAAGCGUUAAUCGGAAUUACUGGGCGUAAAGCGCGUGCGCAGGCGGUUCGGAAAGAAAGAUGUGGAAAUCCCAGAGCUUAACUUUGGAACUGCAUUUUUAACUACCGAGCUAGAGGUCAGAGUGAGGUGGAAUUCCGCGUAGCAGUGAAAUGCGUAGAUAUGCGGAGGAACACCGAUGGCGAAGGCAGCCUCCUGGGAUAACACUGACGCUCAUGCACGAAAGGGUGGGAGCAAACAGGAUUAGAUACCCCGGUAGUCCACGCCCUAAACGAUGUCAACUAGCUGUUGGGGCCUUCGCCUGGUAGCGCAGCUAACGCGUGAAGUUGACCGCCUGGGGAGUACGGUCGCAAGAUUAAAACUCAAAGGAAUUGACGGGGACCCGCACAAGCGGUGGAUGAUGUGAUUAAUUCGAUGCAACGCGAAAACCUUACCUACCCUUGACAUGUCUGGAAUCCCGAAGCAGAUUUGGGAGUGCUCGCAAGAGAACCGGAACACAGGUGCUGCAUGGAUAUGUCGUCAGCUCGUCGUGAGAUGUUGGGUUAAGUCCCGCAACGAGCGCAACCCUUGUCAUUAGUUGCUACGAAAGGGCACUCUACGAGACUGCCGGUGACAAACCGGAGGGAAGGUGGGGAUGACGUCAAGUCCUCAUGGCCCUUAUGGGUAGGGCUUCACACGUCAUACAAUGGUCGGGACAGAGGGUCGCCAACCCGCGAGGGGGAGCCAAUCCCAGAAACCCGAUCGUAGUCCGAUCGCAGUCUGCAACUCGACUGCGUGAAGUCGGAAUCGCUAGUAAUCGCGGAUCAGUACGUCGCGGUGAAUACGUUCCGGUCUUGUACACCGCCCGUCACACCAUGGGGAGUGGGUUUUUACCAGAAGUAGUUAGCCUAACCGUAAGGAGGGCGAUUACCACGGUAGGAUUCAUGACUGGGGUGAAGUCGUAACAAGGUAA
Molecule: ribosomal RNA, 1471 nt
Filed under: uncultured Bordetella sp.
Lineage: Bacteria; Pseudomonadati; Pseudomonadota; Betaproteobacteria; Burkholderiales; Alcaligenaceae
Description: partial 16S-23S ribosomal RNA intergenic spacer
Rfam family: Bacterial small subunit ribosomal RNA
Source: RNAcentral